Molecule: ribosomal RNA, 1013 nt
Filed under: Armatimonadota bacterium
Lineage: Bacteria; Bacillati; Armatimonadota
Description: partial 23S ribosomal RNA
Rfam family: Bacterial large subunit ribosomal RNA
Source: RNAcentral
CCGGUCAAUGGCGGCCGUAACUAUAACGGUCCUAAGGUAGCGAAAUUCCUUGUCGGGUAAGUUCCGACCUGCACGAAUGGCAUAACGACUUGAGCGCUGUCUCAACGUGGGACUCGGCGAAAUUGUACUACGAGUGAAGAUGCUCGUUUCUCCUGGCAAGACGGAAAGACCCUGUGGAGCUUUACUGUAGCUUGGCAUUGGGUCGCUGGAAGCGAUGCAGAGGAUAGGUAGGAGUCGGUGAAGCGUCCCUUGCGGGGGGCGUGGAGACAACGGUGGAAUACUACCCUUCGCUUCCGGCGACUCUAACUCUGUCCCUGAGCGGGAGAGGGAACAGUGCCAGGUGGGCAGUUUGACUGGGGCGGUCGCCUCCUAAAAAGUAACGGAGGCGUGCAAAGGUUCACUCAAGACGGUUGGCAAUCGUCUGGAGAGCGCAAUGGUAGAAGUGAGCUUAACUGCGAGAGGGACAUCUCGAGCAGGCACGAAAGUGGGCCAUAGUGAUCCGACGGUGGAAAGUGGGAUCGCCGAAGCUCAACGGAUAAAAGCUACCCCGGGGAUAACAGGCUUAUCUCUCCCAAGAGUCCAUAUCGACGGGGAGGUUUGGCACCUCGAUGUCGGCUCGUCGCAUCCUGGGGCUGGAUUCGGUCCCAAGGGUUGGGCUGUUCGCCCAUUAAAGCGGCACGCGAGCUGGGUUCAGAACGUCGUGAGACAGUUCGGUCCCUAUCUGCCAGGAGCGUUAGAGAGUUGUGGGAAGCUGUCCUUAGUACGAGAGGACCGGGAUGGACCGACCGCUGGUGUACCGGUUAUGCCGCCAGGUGUAAACGCCGGGUAGCUAUGUCGGGAACGGAUAAGCGCUGAAAGCAUCUAAGUGCGAAGCCGACCCCAAGAUCAACUCUCUUGUCAAGGUUAACCCCUUGGGUAAGACCCCUGGAAGAUCACCAGGUGAAUAGGUCGCAUGUUGAAGCGGGGUCAACCCGUGCAGCUAAGCGACACUAAUCGGUCGAGGGCUUGACUGC